Molecule: non-coding RNA, 98 nt
Filed under: Alteromonas hispanica
Lineage: Bacteria; Pseudomonadati; Pseudomonadota; Gammaproteobacteria; Alteromonadales; Alteromonadaceae
Source: RNAcentral
CGGCAACGUUCUUGUGUCAUUGGAAGGCACACUAAACCUCUAGCAUGGGUUACCAUAAAGUUAAUGGCUUCUGGCGUAACGUGUUCUGCCGCCAUUAU